Molecule: ribosomal RNA, 253 nt
Filed under: uncultured bacterium
Lineage: Bacteria
Description: partial 16S ribosomal RNA
Rfam family: Bacterial small subunit ribosomal RNA
Source: RNAcentral
UACGUAGGGCGCAAGCGUUAUCCGGAAUUAUUGGGCGUAAAGAGCUCGUAGGCGGUUUGUCGCGUCUGCCGUGAAAGUCCGGGGCUCAACUCCGGAUCUGCGGUGGGUACGGGCAGACUAGAGUGCGGUAGGGGAGACUGGAAUUCCUGGUGUAGCGGUGAAAUGCGCAGAUAUCAGGAGGAACACCGGUGGCGAAGGCGGGUCUCUGGGCAGUAACUGACGCUGAGGAGCGAAAGCGUGGGGAGCGAACAGG